This 274-nucleotide ribosomal RNA is filed under the name Phaeomonas parva. RNAcentral describes it as "partial Bacterial small subunit ribosomal RNA". It matches the Rfam family "Bacterial small subunit ribosomal RNA", at positions 140 to 430 of the family's 1533-position model. The record is from RNAcentral. Lineage: Eukaryota; Pinguiophyceae; Pinguiochrysidales; Pinguiochrysidaceae.
GGAAUAGCCACUGGAAACGGUGAGUAAUACCCUAUGUGCCCUUCGGGGGAAAGAUUUAUCGCCUUUGGAUCGGCCCGCGUUAGAUUAGAUAGUUGGUGGGGUAACGGCCUACCAAGUCUACGAUCUAUAGCUGGUUUUAGAGGAUGAUCAGCAACACUGGGACUGAGACACGGCCCAGACUCCUACGGGAGGCAGCAGUGGGGAAUCUUGGACAAUGGGGGCAACCCUGAUCCAGCCAUGCCGCGUGUGUGAAGAAGGCCUUCGGGUUGUAAAG